This 1272-nucleotide long non-coding RNA is filed under the name Oreochromis niloticus (Nile tilapia). Its description in RNAcentral is "lncRNA (ENSONIG00000005319.2)". The record is from RNAcentral. Lineage: Eukaryota; Metazoa; Chordata; Actinopteri; Cichliformes; Cichlidae.
AUGAAGUUACUGCUAAUGCUCAUCCUCCUACUGAUAUCAGAUUGUGAGUCAGAAAUGAAGAGAUUCACAUCAGAAUGGACUGAAUUCACCUGCAACUGUCAAAAAACACCUGGAAAAUGUCAAAUGGUCUGUGUAGCUGAUUGUGGCUCAAAAACUGGAAAAAAGACUCUCAGAGUAAUCCUCAAACAAGUUGAGAACAAGGACCCCAAAAGGAAUGAUGACAAAAAAGAACUGAAAUUUAAACUUGAGGAAAAUGGCUGUCCAAAGCAAUUCAAUCAAACUGCAUACAAAAAAGCUAAAACCACCAUCAGAUGCAAUCAUCCUGAAAAUAAAUCUGAGUUGUGGUUUUUCUGCAAAGAGAACUCUUCUGUCUGUAACAACAUUUUAUCAGACAGAAGAUCCUUUCUCACAAACACAUACAGUGUCUCCAUCAGUGACGUGUCCAUUGAGGACAAGGGUGUCUACUGGUGUGGAGUAAAGUUCACUGAGAACAAUCAUCAUGUCGCACUCACAAAAGUAAAAUUGAAAGUUGAAGAGAUUAAAAAUGUCAAAAGAAGCCCAGUUGUUGGACAGAACUUCACUUACUGGUGUAAAUACAACCAGACUGUCUCCUCAACAACAAAGUUCAUCUGUAAGGGAGAAGAUCCAUCCAUAUGUCAAGCUCUCGUAAACACCAGGCAGCCUGGUGUGAACAACAGGUUUUUCAUGACUGAUAACACAAAAGAGAAAAACAUCACGAUAACAGUGAGAGAAGUAACAGCAGCAGACAGCGGGACGUACUGGUGUGGAGCAGAAACAAAACAACAACAACGCAGCAACAAGUUCUUCAACAGACUGUUUCUGACAGUCACCUUUGGGAUUACCACUGCUGUGAUCAUCGGCGUGGCUGUGUUUCUGAUCGGUUUCUUUCUUAUUUACAUACGAGUUUCAUGUAUAAAAAACAAAGGAAUUAGUGCAUCAUUGCAGCACGUCAAAGAGGACUCUGCCUAUGAGGAAAUCCAGGAGCGCCUCCAGACGCCAGGAAAUGCAGUGGACUCGAUUUAUGUCACUGCCGGCAGGUACACAGAUGUUACCUCCUUACAUUACUCUACCAUCAACUUUCAGAGCCACUCUCAGGAAGCUGGUGGUGAGGAAGUGAAUCCCAGCACGUCUGCCUGUGAAUAUUCUACUGUGGAUUUCAGAAAACGUCCAGAUAACUCAACCGUCACUCAACCAUCCAGACCAGCAGAGGAGAAUCUCUACUCAGCAGUCAAUGAGCUAGAGCAAAUAUGA